GACGAACGCUGGCGGCGUGCCUAAUACAUGCAAGUAGAACGCACAGUUUAUACCGUAGCUUGCUACACCAUAGACUGUGAGUUGCGAACGGGUGAGUAACGCGUAGGUAACCUGCCUGGUAGCGGGGGAUAACUAUUGGAAACGAUAGCUAAUACCGCAUAAUAUUGAUUAUUGCAUGAUAAUUGAUUGAAAGAUGCUAUUGCAUCACUACCAGAUGGACCUGCGUUGUAUUAGCUAGUAGGUGAGGUAACGGCUCACCUAGGCGACGAUACAUAGCCGACCUGAGAGGGUGAUCGGCCACACUGGGACUGAGACACGGCCCAGACUCCUACGGGAGGCAGCAGUAGGGAAUCUUCGGCAAGGGACGAAAGCCUGACCGAGCAACGCCGCGUGAGUGAAGAAGGUUUUCGGAUCGUAAAGCUCUGUUGUAAGAGAAGAACGGGUGUGAGAGUGGAAAGUUCACACUGUGACGGUAUCUUACCAGAAAGGGACGGCUAACUACGUG
RNAcentral lists this ribosomal RNA (505 nucleotides) under uncultured bacterium. Its description in RNAcentral is "partial 16S ribosomal RNA". It matches the Rfam family "Bacterial small subunit ribosomal RNA", at positions 28 to 507 of the family's 1533-position model. The record is from RNAcentral.